GGUUGAUCCCGCCGGACCUGACUGCUAUCGGAUUGAUACUAAGCCAUGCGAGUCAUUGUAGCAAUACAAGGCAGACGGCUCAGUAACGCGUAGUCAACCUAACCUAUGGAUGGGAAUAACCUCGGGAAACUGAGAAUAAUGCCCAAUAGAACACUAUACCUGGAAUGGUUUGUGUUCCAAAUGAUUUAUCGCCGUAGGAUGGGACUGCGGCCUAUCAGUUUGUUGGUGAGGUAAUGGCCCACCAAGACUAUUACAGGUACGGGCUCUGAGAGGAGUAGCCCGGAGAUGGGUACUGAGACACGGACCCAGGCCCUAUGGGGCGCAGCAGGCGAGAAAACUUUGCAAUGUGCGAAAGCACGACAAGGUUAAUCCGAGUGAUUUGUGCUAAACGAAUCUUUUGUUAGUCCUAGAAACACUAACGAAUAAGGGGUGGGCAAGUUCUGGUGUCAGCCGCCGCGGUAAAACCAGCACCUCAAGUGGUCAGGAUGAUUAUUGGGCCUAAAGCAUCCGUAGCCGGCUCUGUAAGUUUUCGGUUAAAUCUGUACGCUCAACGUACAGGCUGCCGGGAAUACUGCAGAGCUAGGGAGUGGGAGAGGUAGACGGUACUCGGUAGGAAGGGGUAAAAUCCUUUGAUCUAUUGAUGACCACCUGUG
This 653-nucleotide ribosomal RNA is filed under the name uncultured archaeon. RNAcentral's name for it is "bacterial SSU rRNA". It matches the Rfam family "Archaeal small subunit ribosomal RNA", at positions 6 to 665 of the family's 1478-position model. The record is from RNAcentral.